AGGUUUCCGUAGGUGAACCUGCGGAAGGAUCAUUAC
Molecule: ribosomal RNA, 36 nt
Filed under: Transversotrema tragorum
Lineage: Eukaryota; Metazoa; Platyhelminthes; Trematoda; Azygiida; Transversotrematidae
Description: partial 18S ribosomal RNA
Source: RNAcentral